AGGGAAUUUUCCGCAAUGGACGAAAGUCUGACGGAGCAACGCCGCGUGAGUGAGGACGGUCUUCGGAUUGUAAAACUCUGUUCUCUCGGAAGAGCAUCUUAGAGCUGAAUAGGUUCUAAGAUCCGACGGUACGAGAGGAGAAAGUCCCGGCUAACUACGUGCCAGCAGCCGCGGUAAUACGUAGGGGGCAAGCGUUGUCCGGAUUUAUUGGGCGUAAAGGGCGCGUAGGCGGCCUCUUAAGUCAGUUGUGAAAGGUCCCGGCUCAACCGGGGAGUUGCAGCUGAAACUGGGAGGCUUGAGUGCAGGAGAGGAGAGCGGAAUUCUCGGUGUAGCGGUGGAAUGCGUAGAGAUCGGGAGGAACACCAGUGGCGAAGGCGGCUCUCUGGCCUGUUACUGACGCUGAGGCGCGAAAGCGUGGGGAGCGAAC
Molecule: ribosomal RNA, 427 nt
Filed under: uncultured bacterium
Lineage: Bacteria
Description: bacterial SSU rRNA
Rfam family: Bacterial small subunit ribosomal RNA
Source: RNAcentral